UUAAUCUGUGUAUACUCUACUGGA
RNAcentral lists this non-coding RNA (24 nucleotides) under Mus musculus (house mouse). The record is from RNAcentral. Lineage: Eukaryota; Metazoa; Chordata; Mammalia; Rodentia; Muridae.